Molecule: long non-coding RNA, 831 nt
Organism: Helianthus annuus (common sunflower)
Lineage: Eukaryota; Viridiplantae; Streptophyta; Magnoliopsida; Asterales; Asteraceae
Exons: 2
Source: RefSeq, a predicted model, not a curated record
GCCAUCAUCAUCACCACCGAUUAGACUUCAAGCCAUCAUCACAACUAGUCUUCAAGCCACCCUCAUCAUCUGGUUGGACUUUAAGCCAUCAUAAACAUGGACACCCGAUCUGGUCCUUAAACCUUAGUUGACACCAUCGUCAUCUGAACCACAAAACCCUAGGCGCCACCAUCAUCGUCGGUCGGACUUCAAGCCACCGCCACCAGCACCGACCUCCACCACCUAAAACCACCGCACCACCAUUACCGCCUGACCACCACCAUCUCAUGGAUCUGAAGACGAAAAUAAAAAAAAAAACAAAAUUUGUAUACAUGAACACAACCAUCGUCAUGGAUCUUGGAUCUGGACUCAAAUCAAAAACGAAAUUUGAAGAGGUUUAAGGGUUUCUGAUUUGAGGUCGAGACUUUUCAAAAUUGGGUUUUUAAUUUGAAGUUUAGGGUUUUCAGAUUUGGGGUUUUCAAGUGUAGGGCUUUUCAUAUUUUCUGAUUUCAGAAAAUAUGCAGAUUGUGUGUGUGUUUUUUUGGAGAUAGAUUGAAGGUAUUGUGGGGUGCUGAGCUUUCUGAUGGUAAUGGUGCUCAGAUUUGAUGGUAAUGGUGCUCAGAUUUGAUGGCGGUGGUGAUAGGUUGUGAGGGGGUCGUGGUGGUGAUGUUGAUUUUAUGGUCUUUUGAUGUGGAUUAGGUUAUUAUUUUUUAAAAAAUGUAUGAAUUUUUGGGUUCAUAUUCGUCGUGUUCUUGAUGUUCUUCAGUUUUCCGGAAAAAAUACAUUUAAAAGAUGUUGAUUUAAAAGAUGUUAGUCUUUGUUAAUCAUAAAAUGUUGUGAUGAUGUUGAUUU